UAAAGAUCCUAUAUAGCCAAAGCCAUUUUGAGCAAGAAGAACAAAGCUCAAGGCAUCAUACUUCCUUAUUUCAAUAUAGAUUACAAAGCAACAGUAAUCAAAACAGUAUGAUACAGACAUAAAAACAGGCAAAUAUACCAGUGGAACAGAAUAAAAAGCCCAGAAAUAAACUAACCUACACAUAUACAGACACGAAUUCUGAGAAGAGUGCCAAGAACACAUACUGGAAAAAGAGUAGUCUCUUCAAUAAAUGGUGUUGGGAAAAUUGUAUCCGCAUGAAAAAAUAAAAUUAAAUUAAACCCUUAUUUUACAACCUUACAACAUAAACAAAAAUCAAUUCAAAAUGGAUUAAAGACUUAAACAUAAAACCUGAAACUAUAAAACUCCUAAGAGAAAACAUAGGGAAAACCUUCCUGACAUUGGUCUUGGCAAUGAUUUAUUGGACAUGACACCAAAAGCACAAGCAACAAAAGCAAAAAUAGACAAGUUACAUUAAACUAAAAAGCUUCUACGUAGCAAAGGAAAAAAAUCAACAAUAUAAAAAGGCAACUUAUAGAGUGAGAGAAAAUAUUUGCAAACCACAUAUCUGAUAAAGGGUUAAUACCAAAAUAUAUAAGAAACUCAUGCAACUCAAUAGCAAAAUAAUAUUAAUAAUAACCCAAUUUAAAAAAUGGACAAAACAAACUGAAUAGACAUUCCCCACAGAGGACAUACAAAUGGUUAACAGGUACAUGAAAAGGUGUUAAACAUCACUAGUCAUCAGGGAAAUGCAAUUGGAAACCACAAUGAGGUAUCCCCUCACACUUUGUAGAAUGGCUAUUAUCAAAAAACAAAAGAUAAUAAAUGUUUAUGAGGAUGUGGAGAAAAGGAAUCCUUGUACACUGUUGGUGGGAAUGUAAAUUAGCACAGCCAUUAUGGAAAGCAAUAUGGAGGUUUCUUUAAAAAAUUAAACAUAGAACUACUACAUGAUCCAGCAAUCCCACUUCUGGGUGUAUAUCAAAAGGAAUUGAAAUCAGAAGCUUAAAGAUAUAUCUUCAUUGCCAUGUUCAUUGCAGCAUUAUUCACAACAGCCAAGAUAUGGAAUCAACCAAUUGUUCAUUGACAGAAUAAUGGAUAAAGAAAAUAUAGUAUCCACAUACAAUAUUUAGCCUUAAAAAGAAGAAGAAAAUCCUGCCACUUGUGGCAACUUGGAUGAACCUGAAGGAUAUUAUGUUAAGUAAAAUAAGCCAGAUACAGAAGAACAAAUAUUACAUGAUGCCACUUACACGAAGAAUCUAAAAUAGUCAAACUCACAGAAGCAGAAAGUAAAAUGGUGGUUGUCAGGAGACAGAGGAAAGGGAAAAUAGGGAGAUAUUAGUCAAAAGGUACGAAGUUCCUGAUGUACAAAUUGAGUAAGUCCUAGAGAUCUACUGUACCAUAUACUGCCUAUAGUUAAUAUUAUAUUUUAUACUUAAAAGAUGCUGAGGGUGGAUCUUAUGUUGUGUUCUUAUCACACACAUGCAAAUACUAAUAAUAAAUAAAAAGGUGGGAGAAAUUUUACAGGUAAUGGAUAGGUUUAUGUCACAGAUUGUGGUGAUAGUUUCAUGGGAGCAUACUUAUCAAGUUGUACACUUUAAAUAUGUACCACUUUUUACAUGUCAAUCAUACCUCAAUAAAGCUGUUUAAGAAAUAUUGUGUAAGGAAAUAUAUCAAUGUUUGGGAGAUCUGUGUAACUUAGUGAACCAAUAUUUACCAAACAACUAAUUAAUGCAUAAUGUAACAAGUAUUAAAAUUUAUUUCACAUGGUUUCAGAAUUUACAUUGGGAAACAUCUUUAAGAAAUUACUAUUUGUCAGUAUUGGUGUGGAAGCAAAAAAAAGAAUAUACAUAAUUAUGUAAAAAGGCUAUAAAAAUAUUUCUUCUUUUUCCAACUAUGUAUCUGCGUGAAGCCAGAUUUUCUUCAAAUAUGUCAAUUAAGACUACGUAUCACAACAGAUUGAAUGCUGAAGUGGACAGAAAAACCCACUGUCUUUCUUUAAAUCAGAAAACUACCUUGGACUACGAGGGUGUGGGGUGAGCCAGCCAUUACCCCCACCCUGAAGCCUGUCCCCCUUUUCUUCUCCAUGGACUACAAGGGGUCUUGAGGGCAUGCAGGUGAACACCCAGAUCACAAGUCCAAGCAGAUACCCACCUGCUGCAAACAGCUACCUAUUGGCCACCUUUUGGGCCUAGGGGUAUGCAUAUCUACAGCGACAUCCACUUUCAGAAGGACAGACACUUUGAAGAAACCUAUGUAGGCCCUGGAGGCAGGAUUUGGACCAUUUGGGCAAGAAAUCCAGGGUUCCAGAUAUUAAUGAGAAAGAGUUCGUCCUUCCCGUAACGUUUUCUCUGUGAGUCCUGCCUGUCAAUGGAGUCUUAGUAAAAAAAGGAAAAAGAAGAUCUGAUAGGGUUAAGUGACUUCUCCAGGGCUCCACAGUGGCAAGUGGCAAAGGCGGGGUUAGGAGACCAGACUUCUGACUUUACGGGGCUAUGCCUGUGUUUCAUGCUGCUUCCCCCUAGUCUGAUAUUGUAAAGGAGUCACCAAAUCUAUGUCUCCAGCUGAGAUGAGAAGAAAUUGGAUUUCCUGAGAAUCAUGAUAGCUGCCUCUUACUAAACCCUGGCUAUGCUCAGGCACCAUUCCAAGAACUUUAAGUAUAUGAUCUCUAACAAUAACAACCUGGCAAUGUAAGUAUUGUUAUUCUCUUCUUACAUAUGUGACAAUGACAAUUCAGAGUUGUUAGGUAACUAUUCCAAUUAUAAACUUCAAUAAAUGUCAAUAUGUGUGUGUGUGUACACAUAUAUGUAUACACAUACAUAUAUACACAUAUAUGCACACACAUACAUAUAUACAUAUAUGCACACACAUACAUAUAUACAUAUAUGCACACACAUACAUAUAUACACAUAUAUGUGCACACACAUACAUAUAUACACAUAUAUGUGUACACACAUACAUAUAUACACAUAUAUGUGUACACACAUGCAUAUAUACACACAUAUAUGUGUACACACAUGCAUAUAUACACACAUAUAUGUGUACACACAUGCAUAUAUACACACAUAUAUGUGUACACACAUGCAUAUAUACACACAUAUAUGUGUACACACAUGCACAUAUAUACACAUAUAUGUGUACACACAUGCCCAUAUAUACACAUAUAUGUGUACACACAUGCAUAUAUAUACACAUAUAUGUGUACACACAUGCAUAUAUAUACACAUAUAUGUGUGCACACAUGCAUAUAUAUACACAUAUAUGUGUGCACACAUACAUAUAUUUAUAUAUUCCUGCCUAUGUUCAUGUAAAAUUGUGACAAGAUUCCACCAAAUUGCCCUUCAAAAAGGAUUGCACAAAAUCGAUUGUGACUUUUCCCCACACCCUGGUAAUAUUGUUUAUUAUAUACUUUAUUUUUUUUCCAAUUUGAUGGGUAAAAAUGACAUCCCAUCAAGGGUUCUUUAGUUUAUAUUUCAUGAAUCAUGAGGUUUAGUAACUUUUUAAUACAUAUGCUGGACACUUAGAGUCUUUUCUUUUUAACUAAUAUAUGCUUUCCUUUGGGGUUCUUUUUCUUUGGCUAUUUGUUGAAGACAACUUGACUCUAUCAAGUAUUUGGCAAAUAUUUUUGUGAAUUUAAAACAAACUGAAAACAAUCUAGGUUUCUAUCAAUGGAAAAUGAAUUUAUAAUUUAUGGUGUAUCCAUACAAUGAGAUACUGCUAUGGUUGAAUGUGUCCCCCAAAGGUCAUGUGUUGGAAACUUAAUCUCCAAGACAACAGCCUUGAGAGGCAGGAUUUUUAAGACAUGACUAGGGAUGAGGGCUCUGCCCUCAUAGGUAGGUUAAUGUCACUGUGGUGGAAGUGGGUGAGUUAUCACAGGAGUGGAUUUCUGAUAAAAGAAUGAGUUCAGCCUCUUUCCCCUCUUUCUUGUGUGCACUCCCUUACUCCUCUGCCACCCACCACGGGAUGACAAAGCAAGAAAACUCUUUCUGGAUGUGGGCUCCUUAACCUUUGACUUUCCAGUUUCAAGCACUGUAAGAAAUAAAUAUAUGUUCUUUAUAAGUUACCCAGUCUGUGAUAUUCUAGUUCACAACUGUUACAGAAGUUAUUGAAAAAGGCAAUGGACUGAUUUGGAAAGAUGCUCAAAAUAUAUUGUUAAGUGAACUAGAAAAUGGCAGGAUUAUAUAUAUAGUAGACUCCCCACUAAAGCACUUAUGCAUAUACUUAUAUACACUUGUGAAUUUAUGGACAAUAGUAAGAUGUGGGUGUGGAUGUUUCUAGUAGAUAGAAAUGGCCUUGAGGGCAAGGUUAACUUUUACUUUUUAUUUUUUGCUUUUUACUUUUAUUUUUGUAUAGUAGCAUGUAUUACUUUUAUAAUAAAAAUAAUUAAUAGUAACUUUGUAACAUUGGCUUUGAAAAGUAAUUUGCUUUUUAGGAGACACAGUAACAGGUGAGUCAGGUUCUGUCUUCUAUACCAUGCUGCCUCUGGGCAGAAACAAGGCUUUUCUGCAGCACAUUGAUGUUCCCAAGGCAGGCUUUAAUGGCCCCCCUGCUUUCCAUCAAACAAAGGGAAACCUCUGUGAGAGGUGGCAGAGAGCCAUGGAAGGAAGGGCAGGAGGCUGAGAAAGUAUCUGAGGAUGAAGCAUCACCAACCAUGAGGCUGCACAUUGCUUUCUCUUACUAAUGAUGAUAAUAUCAGCUCUCAUUGUCUGACAAAACUGAGGCUUUUCAGAAGCUGCAUUUCCCACACUGAGGUCAAGAUACUUCUAUUGCCAAGGAAGGGUAAAUGGAUAGGAGGAGGCAAAUUCUCCAGGGAUGAGGAUAGUGCCGGAAGUGGAGGAUGCCCUUCUACUAGAAUUGGUCCGAUGUUUUCCUCAUGGUGAGACUGGAGUUAUGGGUUUUGAAGAGGAAGAUUACAGAGAAUUUCCACUGAUGCCAUUGCUUGAAGGGAGGCUUGGAGGCCGAGAAGAAGGAAGUGAUUCCAGAAAGGUAUCACCAUUCCUCAGUUACGAAACCCAAGUGAGACCACAAUAUCCUGACUUCCAGUCUAGAGCUAUCUGUAAUGCAAUAAAUCUCUUCACAGGAGCAUAUACACUGGGAACGGGAACUCUCACAGGAGAUUCUCUCCCUUGUUGAUUGGAAAAAGCCAGCUGCCAUGUUGUGAGUAUCCCAUUUAAAAGGGCUAUAUGGCAAGGAACCGAGGGCAGCCUUCAGCUGACAGCCAGCAAGAAACCAAGAUCCUCAGUCUGGUAGCUUGCAAGGCACUGAAUUCUGCCAACAACUGCGUGAGCUUGGAAGUGGAUCCUUCCUCAGUUAAGCCUUGGACAAGACCCAAGCCCUGUUGGACGCUUUAAUUACAGCCUUGCAGAGAACCCAGCUAAGGGGCCCAGAUAAAACAAAAAGGCAGAGGAAAGGUGAAUUCACUCUCUCUCUCCUGAAGCUGGGGUACUUUUAUCUCUUGCCCUUGGACAUCAGAACUCCAGGUUCUCUGGCCUUUGGACUCUGGGACUUGCACCAGCUCCCGGCUUCUCAGGACUUCAGCCUCAGAUUGAGAGUCACUCCAUUAACUUUCCUGGUUUAAAAGCCUUUAUACUUGGACUGAGAAACACCAACAGCUUCCCUGGGCUUCCAACUUGCAGAUGACCUAUCACAGGACUUCUCAGCCUCCAUAAUCGCAUGAGCCAAUUCUCCUAAUAAGUCCCCUUUCACAUAUCUAUUUAUCUACAUACGUAUAUCCUACUGGUUCUGUCUUUCUCAGGAACCCUGACCAAUAUAGUAUGUAUCUCUAAAAGAUAAGGACAUCAAAAAAUAUUACCGCGUCUAAAAAUAAAGUGAUUUCUUAACGUCAUGAAAUAUCCAAUUGCUCUCCAAAUUUUCACAAUUACAAAAGUCCACAUGUUGCAUUUAAUUUUAAUGCCUCUUAAUUCUCCCUUAAUUUUGAGAUUGCCUUUUAAGUAAGGCAGUUUAGCUCCCUAGUUUCACUCUAGCCCAUCCAAGGUGUUUCCAAAAACCUCACCUUCACACUAACCACAUCCAUUAUAAGCUGCUUCUUAAACGAUGAGAGCUCUCACUCUCUAAAAGGAAUUCUAAGCAUACCUCUUAAAGUAAUAACAUAUUAUAUCUCUACUAAGUUUAUAAUCAUAAAGAAUGUGGGUAUUUGCAUUCUCAUUUUACAGAUGGGAAAAUUAGUGUAGGUAACACAUAUAGAGAGGUGAUAAAUAGCAAUGGUUUCCAAGAAUGAUGACGAUUUCAGUGUGAAACAGAGAGUAGCAAUGGCAAGAGAUACAGCUAAGUAAAUGUGGAUGGUGAGGGACCCAUUCUGCCUUGUUAAAAGGUUUGAACCCACCCUAUAGACAAUAAAUCACUCAGUGAAUCACUGAGCAAUUUUAAUUAUGGAAGCAAUGUGAUCAGAUUUAUAUUUAAGGCAAGAGGAUUGGUGGCAAUGUAGAAGGCAAACACAAGUCAGAAAGAGUUAGAAGUAAGAAAAGUGAGUAGUCUGAAGAAAUUGGACACAUAAGAGAUGAGGGGGCUGGAAUGACUAACUAUGCAUCUUAUUCUGAAAUAUGUCUCUUAGGUAAUUGAUUAUUGAUACCCCACAUCCAAAUAGUGGGACAGUUAACUGAGAUGUCAGAGCCAGCCUUUUCAACACUUCUAGAGAGAAAUUUUGCAAAGACACAUCUCUUGUACCUCCAUGGACUUUUAAUACAGAUAUGUUUAUCAUAAGAUAACCUUCUAAAGAGCUCAUGAUAGCAUAUGAUCAAACUCCUUAUUGUACAGUCAGGAGGAAUCAGCCUUGUUGAAGGAAGGGGCUUACCCAAAGUUACAAGUUGGGACAAAAUUUUUGCUUCCAAUUCACUGCUGUUCUUACUAGAACUGUUUUCUCCAGUCUCAUAGAAGUUCUGAGAAACAAUUAGGCCCACACUAUCAUCAACAGGCAAAUAUGUGUGCCUGACCAGACAGACAGAGAGGUAUUUUGAGAGAGGCCAGGAAUGAAACUGGUGAAGAGGCCCAGAGUUUCAAUCCUGUUCUCACUCAAGAUUCAUCAUCAUCAUCAUCUUUACUAUAAGGAAGAGGGCAUUUAAAAGCACAAAUGAGAUUGUUAGUGAUAAAAAGGUACUUAUACACCAGCCAAUUCCAUCCUCCAUUUUGCUGAGGCUCAAAGAGGUACAGUGACUUAUCUUCGGUUAUGUAUGCAACUAUUGCAGAGCUGGAUAUUGGACUUAGGCCUCCUGAAGCCCAGCACUGUGCCUGCAGGAGCAUUCCCAACUCCUGUCUUUCUGCUCAAUACAUGGGGAAGAGACGAACAAUUUAGGCUACUCAAAAUGUGGUGGGCAUUUGGGCUCUGGGGAGAGCUUCAGCAUCUCUUCUCUCUUUUCAUGUUCUCCAACUCCUCAAGCAACAUACACACAUAGCAUAAAGAUCACUAGCCAGCUAUUUUCUGUCUUGAAAAAUUUUUAUGAUAAGAGUUUUCUAAUUAGGGAAAGCCACAGUUCAUACACAAAACACAAAUUACUAGGCUCUUUGUCUUUUUCAGAAGAAGUAUUAAUCCAUAAAUAAAUAUACUCUGUUGCCAAGUCACUACCAUGCUGUAUCACAUGGCCAAAGGAUGCCAAAAGGUAUGAGCUCUUGGUGAAUCCCAGCUAUUGACAGCCAGGUGCUGGACCUUAACCAGAGGCAUUGCUAUAGGUGGUUAAGUAUAUGGGCUCUGGUCAGUGGUGACAAAGUUCCUGGGUUCAAAUCCCAACACCCCCAGUUACUAGUUAUGUGACCUUGGACAAGUUGAUUAAAAUCUCUGUACUUCAACUCCUUUAUUUGUAAUAUGGAAAUGAUUUUUUAAAUUACCUAUCUUCUGGGUCUAUUGCAAAAUUAUCUUAUUUAAUAAUAAGAUAAUCCACUUAAGGCACUAUAUGUGAGUUUUUGCAUGUAGUGAGCACUUGAACCAAUAGAGUAUAUUUCCUUUUGAAUGUAAGAAAUUCACAGAGACAGCUUCUCUAUAGUAAAGGUAAGAAUCAAAACUGAGUUUCUAUAAAUUACUUUGUAUUGCUUAGAGAAAGAAGUCAUGGCAAUAGAUUGAAUAUAUUUUAAUUUAAAGUAGAAAAUUAUAUAGGAAAAAUAGAUAUAUCUUCCAGAGCUCAGUCUCAAAGGCCACAUUUUCUUUUGAGUAUUUUAACCUCCAAAACAUACUUAGUAUGUGGUGAAAUUGCCUACUUCUGGGUUGAGUAAUGUGAGCUAUCAUUACCAUGGUAACAACAAGGCCAAUAACUUGAACUCCAGUCAUAGUAGCUACAAUAAAGGGGACUCAGUUUGGAAAUAAUUAGAAUCCAUCCUUUUUGAGACUGAAAUUCAUUGCCUUUAAGACUCAAUCAACAUUCCUGGUGGUAGUCUGGAAUCAGCUCAAAUCAAGAUACAUCUAUCUUUAAAAAGAAUAUAGGACAAGAAAUCCAAAAUAGGAAAAAAAUCAAAUCAUCUUAUCUUUCUGGUGCAUUUACUAGUCUGAUGAGUCAUAAGAAAAUAAUAACCCAGAGGUUAGAAACAAAGACAUAAGCACAAUUCCUUUCAUUCCAUGGGUAAAAUUGAA
RNAcentral lists this long non-coding RNA (8587 nucleotides) under Homo sapiens (human). Its description in RNAcentral is "HSALNT0016665". Lineage: Eukaryota; Metazoa; Chordata; Mammalia; Primates; Hominidae. The record is from RNAcentral.